Molecule: microRNA, 20 nt
Filed under: Corchorus olitorius
Lineage: Eukaryota; Viridiplantae; Streptophyta; Magnoliopsida; Malvales; Malvaceae
Description: bta-miR-181
Source: RNAcentral
AGGGUUUUUGGUUUUCUUUU